UAGAUUUCUGCAGUUACACAGCUGUUCAAGGCUCAGGAUUCCUGCUAGGAAAAAACAAAGGAACAAUUCUGCUAUUUUAUUUCUCAACACCAAUCAAGCAGAAGAAGAAGAGCAACAAAAAAGCAAGAAGAUAGGCACAAGAAAAGCCCUCAAGCAAGCCACCAUCCAUGGAAACAGGGUGCACCAAAUUGUGUCUUAAAUUCAGGCUAACAACAAAGCAACAACUCCCUUACAUUCCUUCUCUGCCACACACCAAGGUGAAAACCAGCUCCACAAGGCGCUUGGCUUUUGAAAUAAGUGAUAAAAGGACAGAAAGCCAGAAGGGGUGCAGGAGCUACCCAGUGUACUGCCAGAGGAAAGAUGUGACAAUACAGAAGGGGAAAGGAAGAAGGAUUUUAUCUCCAAGAUGAAGAUCAAACUUUGAAUUCCAGGGAUAUCUAAAUAAUACUACCUUGCUUAUGAGCUCAGUUAUUAUGUGUUAACACUGUGGAUUAAAAAUAUAUAUAUCAAGUAGUCA
Hemicordylus capensis (graceful crag lizard) is the source of this 517-nucleotide long non-coding RNA. RefSeq lists it as uncharacterized. The record is from RefSeq and is a predicted model, not a curated record. The transcript has 2 exons. NCBI's taxonomy places the organism in Eukaryota, Metazoa, Chordata, Lepidosauria, Squamata, Cordylidae.